RNAcentral lists this long non-coding RNA (310 nucleotides) under Malus domestica (apple). RNAcentral's name for it is "long non-coding RNA (MDOM_LNC011049)". Lineage: Eukaryota; Viridiplantae; Streptophyta; Magnoliopsida; Rosales; Rosaceae. The record is from RNAcentral.
CCACCUCUGCGCAAACAACUGCGGGUUCUUCGGCAGCCCGGCCACCAUGAACCUCUGCUCCAAAUGCUACAGAGAUUUCUGCCUCAAGGAGCAGCAGGAGGCCUCGAUUAAAUCCACCGUCGAAGCCUCCCUCUCCGCCUCCGCCGCCUCCGCCGCCGCCGCUUCUCCUCCUUGUUCUCCGCCUUCAACAUCCUUGCCUUCUUCUGCGGCAGCGAUCGAGACUCAAUGUCAGCCUCCGCCUCCGGCGUUGACUUUGCCGGAGGUAGUCGGAGAUAUAAUCAAAGAUCCCGCCGGAGAUCUCCGGGCUCGU